UACGAAGGGGGCUAGCGUUGUUCGGAUUUACUGGGCGUAAAGCGCGUGUAGGCGGGUCGUUAGGUUGGAGGUGAAAUCCCGAGGCUCAACCUCGGAACUGCCUUCAAAACUGGCGACUUGGAGCGUGAUAGAGGCGAGUGGAAUUGCGAGUGUAGAGGUGAAAUUCGUAGAUAUUCGCAAGAACACCAGUGGCGAAGGCGGCUCACUGGCCCGGUACUGACGCUGAGGUGCGAAAGCGUGGGGAGCAAACAGG
RNAcentral lists this ribosomal RNA (253 nucleotides) under uncultured bacterium. RNAcentral describes it as "partial 16S ribosomal RNA". It matches the Rfam family "Bacterial small subunit ribosomal RNA", at positions 524 to 776 of the family's 1533-position model. The record is from RNAcentral.